CGGCGCGGGUCGGCUCCGCUCCGCGUCCUCCGGGGCGGGGCAGGGCAGGGCAGGGCAGGGCAGGGCAGGCAGCCGCGGCGGCCCUGGCGUAGCGAAACGCGCGGCUGCGGGCAGCCCCGCCGUUCGCGGGCGGUCGCGGUGCGGAGCGUGUCCGGCAGCCCCGCGCAGGGCCUCCGCGGGGUUGCUCACGCCACGCUUAACGCCCUGAUUUACAAGCGUUUGAGUAUCUUCUGCUUAAGAAUGAAGAUAAAGCUUUGGACAGGCAGCUGGGGGCUUUCCGCGAUGGACCGGCGCUGCGGAAAGCUGCCCGCGCGGCGGAGCCCGGGCUGGCUCCCGAGCUGGCUCCCGGGCAGCUGCCCGGAGGAAGGGGCUGCAAGGCGGCGCCUUCUGCUGCUCCUCCUAACACGGACUAGAGCUGCCCGGAGCUUCCGAUGGAGACCAGCGCCUAUGGAAAGGCUUCACCAGCUGCCUACAGCUGGACAGAAAAAAGAUACCAAAGAAAACAAAGGAAAAGAAGCAAUUUUCCCCAAAUUAUUCAUUACGGGAUUGCCAUCCUGCAAGGCUCGAAAUGCCAGCGUUCCCUUCAGCUCCCUGUAAGCUUUCCCUCACCCUUGCGCAAGAACGGCUCUUUGGCACCUACGGACGCAGGAGCAGCCCCUGACCCGUCGUCUGAGGGGGCCGCCGGCUCAGCAGCUACCGUGCAUGCUGGCAGCUACCAUGCAUGCUGGCAGGGGCGACCUGCGGCAUUAACAGAGGCCACAGGGGCGAUAUGCAGCCCUCUGAUUUUUUUCUCUACGUGCAAGAUUCUCAAGAAACCUCUAGAUGAGACUGCCCCCACUCAAAUAACUUCGGUCUUGAUAAAUCCUGAGAAAAAAAGGGCUAUUAUGUUCUUAAUUGUGUCUUACUCAGUUUGGUGGUCUUAAUAGCCCACAUAUGUCUGUGUUACAAAUCAUGAAAAAGAUUCAGUGCCAAAUCUGAUGUAAAACUGUACAAGCUGAGUUCAAUAAAAGCUUGUCAUAAAUGCUAAUCAAACGUUUGUUAAUUGUACUAAAAUCUAAAUUCAUAACAUUGA
This is a long non-coding RNA of Rhea pennata, 1072 nucleotides long. RefSeq lists it as uncharacterized. The transcript is spliced from 2 exons. Lineage: Eukaryota; Metazoa; Chordata; Aves; Rheiformes; Rheidae. The record is from RefSeq and is a predicted model, not a curated record.